RNAcentral lists this non-coding RNA (22 nucleotides) under Mus musculus (house mouse). The record is from RNAcentral. Lineage: Eukaryota; Metazoa; Chordata; Mammalia; Rodentia; Muridae.
UCCCAACGAGCUUAUCCUGAUG